UGGGGAAUAUUGCGCAAUGGGGGGAACCCUGACGCAGCCAUGCCGCGUGAAUGAAGAAGGCCUUAGGGUUGUAAAGUUCUUUCGGUAUUGGGGAAGGUUGAUGUGUUAAUAGCACAUCAAAUUGACGUUAAAUACAGAAGAAGCACCGGCUAACUCCGUGCCAGCAGCCGCGGUAAUACGGAGGGUGCGAGCGUUAAUCGGAAUAACUGGGCGUAAAGGGCACGCAGGCGGUUAUUUAAGUGAGGUGUGAAAGCCCCGGGCUUAACCUGGGAAUUGCAUUUCAGACUGGGUAACUAGAGUACUUUAGGGAGGGGUAGAAUUCCACGUGUAGCGGUGAAAUGCGUAGAGAUGUGGAGGAAUACCGAAGGCGAAGGCAGCCCCUUGGGAAUGUACUGACGCUCAUGUGCGAAAGCGUGGGGAGCAAACAGGAUUAGAUACCCUGGUAGUCCACGCUGUAAACGCUGUCGAUUUGGGGGUUGGGGUUUAACUCUGGCGCCCGUAGCUAACGUGAUAAAUCGACCGCCUGGGGAGUACGGCCGCAAGGUUA
RNAcentral lists this ribosomal RNA (547 nucleotides) under uncultured bacterium. RNAcentral describes it as "bacterial SSU rRNA". It matches the Rfam family "Bacterial small subunit ribosomal RNA", at positions 355 to 896 of the family's 1533-position model. The record is from RNAcentral.